Molecule: long non-coding RNA, 327 nt
Filed under: Cavia porcellus (domestic guinea pig)
Lineage: Eukaryota; Metazoa; Chordata; Mammalia; Rodentia; Caviidae
Description: lncRNA (ENSCPOG00000036978.1)
Source: RNAcentral
GUUGGAAGCUAAGUGCUUCUCACGGCCAUUAGUGUGCUAACGUGGAACAAGUUAUUUUUGUUUUGUUUUGUUUUUUAUUUUAAUCUUACUUAUCUUUCCAGGACUUUCUGAUUACUGACAAAACUUGGGACAAUAACACCCCAAAAAAUAGUCUGAAGACUCCCCCAGGAUAUGUCGCUAGUCUUCAAGGAAACUACAAAAGCUGACAUAUUAAAGUUUCCAGAUCAAGUCUUCCCUCUGUAUCCAGGAGAGAACGGUUCCAAGACUGCAUAGAACAAAAUCCAAAGACCCUCAAGUCCUCUGUAAACCAUCCCUACAUGACCGGUG